AUUGAACGCUGGCGGCAGGCCUAACACAUGCAAGUCGAACGAGUGGCGGACGGGUGAGUUAUGUCUGUGAAACUGCCUGAUGGAGGGGGAUAACUACUGGAAACGGUUGCUAAUACCGCAUCCCAUCGGCUGUGCCCAGAUGGGAUUAUCUAGUUGGGGGGGUAACCGCUCACCUAGGCGACGAUCCCGAGCUGGUCUGAGAGGAUGACCAGCCACACUGGAACGGAGACACGGUCCAGACUCCUACGGGAGGCAGCAGUGGGGAAUAUUGGACAAUGGGCGCAAGCCUGAUGCAGCCAUGCCGCGUGUAUGAAGAAGGCCUUCGGAUUGUAAAGUACUUUCAGCGGGGAGGCGUUACCCGCAGAAGAAGCACCGGCUAACUCCGUGCCAGCAGCCGCGGUAAUUC
This 406-nucleotide ribosomal RNA is filed under the name uncultured bacterium. RNAcentral describes it as "partial 16S ribosomal RNA". It matches the Rfam family "Bacterial small subunit ribosomal RNA", at positions 30 to 526 of the family's 1533-position model. The record is from RNAcentral.